UGGGGAAUAUUGGACAAUGGGCGCAAGCCUGAUCCAGCCAUGCCGCGUGAGUGAUGAAGGCCCUAGGGUUGUAAAGCCCUUUCACCGGUGAAGAUAAUGACGGUAACCGGAGAAGAAGCACCGGCUAACUUCGUGCCAGCAGCCGCGGUAAUACGAAGGGGGCUAGCGUUGUUCGGAUUUACUGGGCGUAAAGCGCACGUAGGCGGACUAUUAAGUCAGGGGUGAAAUCCCGGGGCUCAACCCCGGAACUGCCUUUGAUACUGGUAGUCUUGAGUUCGAGGGAGGUGAGUGGAAUUCCGAGUGUAGAGGUGAAAUUCGUAGAUAUUCGGAGGAACACCAGUGGCGAAGGCGGCUCACUGGCUCGAUACUGACGCUGGGGUGCGAAAGCGUGGGGAGCAAACAGG
RNAcentral lists this ribosomal RNA (404 nucleotides) under Actinomycetes bacterium. RNAcentral describes it as "Actinobacteria bacterium partial 16S ribosomal RNA". It matches the Rfam family "Bacterial small subunit ribosomal RNA", at positions 355 to 776 of the family's 1533-position model. Lineage: Bacteria; Bacillati; Actinomycetota; Actinomycetes. The record is from RNAcentral.